RNAcentral lists this long non-coding RNA (842 nucleotides) under Equus caballus (horse). RNAcentral describes it as "lncRNA (ENSECAG00000047644.1)". The record is from RNAcentral. Lineage: Eukaryota; Metazoa; Chordata; Mammalia; Perissodactyla; Equidae.
AUUGAGGGCAGCACCUAGCAUGGGACCUGGCUCACUUUACGAGCAGAAACAAUGAGGCGCUUAGAGGGGUGACCUUCCCAGGUCCUGUGGGUGAGAACAGGCCUGGCCUGCCUCCGGCCCCCUCCACCGACCCGGUGUGGCUGCCGCUCACUGGACCCUCCAAGGAGGAAAUGGAGGCGAGGACAGCAUGGGUGGAGAGCCAGGCCCAGCACCCGGUCCCCUGCUCUGCAGGAAGCCCCUGCAGAUGCGGCACAGAGCUCACCACGGGCCCUGCCCACCUGCCCACCCAGCAGCAGAGGCACAGCCCUCCAGCCAGAAGCAGGCCCGCGCCAGGAGCCCGCCUUCAGCUUAGGGCAGAAGUAGAUGCUCCACCCCAGCGUUUUGCAGCUCAGUGACUUUGUCACCCAGACAAAUGCCUGGAGACAUUUUUCCUUGUUUCCACAAGGAGCAGAGGGUGCUACUGGCUCCUGGCACGCAGUGGGCGGAGGCCGGGGAUGCUGCAAAGCAUCUUGCAAUGAACAGGACAGGCCCACAACAGAGAUUCAUCCGGCCCUGAAUGUCACGAGUGCCCAGGCUGAGCCAGCCUGCCCCACACCUUCCUCCCUCCAUGCCUUCGCUCAGGCUGCCCUUCUGCCUGGCGUGCCCUGGCCCACUCAGUCAGCUGGUUAAACUUCUUCACUGCUCGGAUCCUGUUGCCUCCUUCUCCAGAUCUGCCAUCCUCUGGCUGUGUGACUUUAGGAUCCAGUCCCAGGUACCACACGGCACUGAGUUGUCACACCUCUUCAGGCUUCUCUGGUCUGUGACAGUUUCUCAGACUUUCCUGGCUUUUCAUGAACCCUUGG